Molecule: ribosomal RNA, 253 nt
Filed under: uncultured bacterium
Lineage: Bacteria
Description: partial 16S ribosomal RNA
Rfam family: Bacterial small subunit ribosomal RNA
Source: RNAcentral
UACAGAGGUCUCAAGCGUUGUUCGGAUUCAUUGGGCGUAAAGGGUGCGUAGGCGGAUUAGAAAGUCCGUUGUGAAAUCUCUGAGCUUAACUCGGAAAUUGCGGUGGAUACUAUUAAUCUUGAAUACUGUGGAGGUUAGCGGAAUAUGUCAUGUAGCGGUGAAAUGCAUAGAUAUGACAUAGAACACCAAUUGCGAAGGCAGCUGGCUACACAGAUAUUGACGCUGAGGCACGAAAGCGUGGGGAUCAAACAGG